RNAcentral lists this ribosomal RNA (253 nucleotides) under uncultured bacterium. RNAcentral's name for it is "partial 16S ribosomal RNA". It matches the Rfam family "Bacterial small subunit ribosomal RNA", at positions 524 to 776 of the family's 1533-position model. The record is from RNAcentral.
UACGUAGGGCGCGAGCGUUGUCCGGAAUUAUUGGGCGUAAAGAGCUUGUAGGCGGUUUGUCGCGUCUGCUGUGAAAGCCCGGGGCUUAACCCCGGGUUUGCAGUGGGUACGGGCAGACUAGAGUGCAGUAGGGGAGACUGGAAUUCCUGGUGUAUCGGUGAAAUGCGCAGAUAUCAGGAGGAACACCAAUGGCGAAGGCAGGUCUCUGGGCUGUAACUGACGCUGAGAAGCGAAAGCAUGGGGAGCAAACAGG